GAUGAACGCUGGCGGCGUGCCUAAUACAUGCAAGUCGAGCGAACAGACGAGGAGCUUGCUCCUCUGACGUUAGCGGCGGACGGGUGAGUAACACGUGGAUAACCUACCUAUAAGACUGGGAUAACUUCGGGAAACCGGAGCUAAUACCGGAUAAUAUAUUGAACCGCAUGGUUCAAUAGUGAAAGACGGUUUUGCUGUCACUUAUAGAUGGAUCCGCGCCGCAUUAGCUAGUUGGUAAGGUAACGGCUUACCAAGGCGACGAUGCGUAGCCGACCUGAGAGGGUGGUCGGCCACACUGGAACUGAGACACGGUCCAGACUCCUACGGGAGGCAGCAGUAGGGAAUCUUCCGCAAUGGGCGAAAGCCUGACGGAGCAACGCCGCGUGAGUGAUGAAGGUCUUCGGAUCGUAAAACUCUGUUAUUAGGGAAGAACAAAUGUGUAAGUAACUAUGCACGUCUUGACGGUACCUAAUCAGAAAGCCACGGCUAACUACGU
Molecule: ribosomal RNA, 496 nt
Filed under: uncultured bacterium
Lineage: Bacteria
Description: partial 16S ribosomal RNA
Rfam family: Bacterial small subunit ribosomal RNA
Source: RNAcentral